Molecule: ribosomal RNA, 520 nt
Filed under: uncultured archaeon HA03
Lineage: Archaea
Description: bacterial SSU rRNA
Rfam family: Archaeal small subunit ribosomal RNA
Source: RNAcentral
GCACGAAAGUGUGACGGGGCUACCCCGAGUGCCGUCCGCUGAGGAUGGCUUUUCCCCGGUGUAACCAGCCGGGGGAAUAAGGAGAGGGCAAGACUGGUGUCAGCCGCCGCGGUAAUACCAGCUCUCCGAGUGGUAGGGACGAUUAUUGGGCUUAAAGCGUCCGUAGCCGGCUUAGCAAGUCUCCUGUUAAAUUCAGCGACCUAAUCGUUGAGCCGCGGGAGAUACUACUAGGCUAGGAGGCGGGAGAGGUCGACGGUACUUUCGGGGUAGGGGUGAAAUCCUAUAAUCCCGGGAGGACCACCAGUGGUGAAGGCUGUCGACUAGAACGCGCUCGACGGUGAGGGACGAAAGCUGGGGGAGCGAACCGGAUUAGAUACCCGGGUAGUCCCAGCUGUAAACGAUGCGGGCUAGGUGUUGGGGUGGCUACGUGCCACUUCAGUGCCGCAGGGAAGCCAUUAAGCCCGCCGCCUGGGGAGUACGGCCGCAAGGCUGAAACUUAAAGGAAUUGGCGGGGGAGCAC